AGGGGAAUAGCUGGGUCAAAUGGUGCCCAGCUUUCCAAGGAAUCUCCAUACUGCUUUCCAAAUUGGCUGUGCCAAUUUGCAGUCCCACCAGCAAU
This 95-nucleotide microRNA precursor is filed under the name Marmota monax (woodchuck). The record is from RNAcentral. Lineage: Eukaryota; Metazoa; Chordata; Mammalia; Rodentia; Sciuridae.